Molecule: ribosomal RNA, 1051 nt
Filed under: Salmonella enterica subsp. salamae
Lineage: Bacteria; Pseudomonadati; Pseudomonadota; Gammaproteobacteria; Enterobacterales; Enterobacteriaceae
Description: partial 23S ribosomal RNA
Rfam family: Bacterial large subunit ribosomal RNA
Source: RNAcentral
CGUAUCACUUAAAACGAUUCAGAAGCUUACGAUUGACGGAGCGAAGCGACGUCAAAGCGUAUACAAAGUCGAGUCGGUUUAAGGAUACGUUCGUUGGGUAGGGGAGCGUUCUGUAAGCCUGCGAAGGUGGCCUGUGAGGGUUGCUGGAGGUAUCAGAAGUGCGAAUGCUGACAUAAGUAACGAUAAAGCGGGUGAAAAGCCCGCUCGCCGGAAGACCAAGGGUUCCUGUCCAACGUUAAUCGGGGCAGGGUGAGUCGACCCCUAAGGCGAGGCCGAAAGGCGUAGUCGAUGGGAAACGGGUUAAUAUUCCCGUACUUGGUGUUACUGCGAAGGGGGGACGGAGAAGGCUAUGUUGGCCGGGCGACGGUUGUCCCGGUUUAAGCGUGUAGGCUGACUUUCCAGGCAAAUCCGGAGAGUCAAGGCUGAGGCGUGACGACGAGGCACCACGGUGCUGAAGCAACAAAUGCCCUGCUUCCAGGAAAAGCCUCUAAGCAUCAGGUAACAUCAAAUCGUACCCCAAACCGACACAGGUGGUCAGGUAGAGAAUACCAAGGCGCUUGAGAGAACUCGGGUGAAGGAACUAGGCAAAAUGGUGCCGUAACUUCGGGAGAAGGCACGCUGACACGUAGGUGAAGUGAUUUACUCAUGGAGCUGAAGUCAGUCGAAGAUACCAGCUGGCUGCAACUGUUUAUUAAAAACACAGCACUGUGCAAACACGAAAGUGGACGUAUACGGUGUGACGCCUGCCCGGUGCCGGAAGGUUAAUUGAUGGGGUCAGCGCAAGCGAAGCUCCUGAUCGAAGCCCCGGUAAACGGCGGCCGUAACUAUAACGGUCCUAAGGUAGCGAAAUUCCUUGUCGGGUAAGUUCCGACCUGCACGAAUGGCGUAAUGAUGGCCAGGCUGUCUCCACCCGAGACUCAGUGAAAUUGAACUCGCUGUGAAGAUGCAGUGUACCCGCGGCAAGACGGAAAGACCCCGUGAACCUUUACUAUAGCUUGACACUGAACAUUGAGCCUUGAUGUGUAGGAUAGGUGGGAGGCUUUGAAGCGUG